RNAcentral lists this long non-coding RNA (339 nucleotides) under Bos taurus (domestic cattle). RNAcentral's name for it is "long non-coding RNA NONBTAT006852". Lineage: Eukaryota; Metazoa; Chordata; Mammalia; Artiodactyla; Bovidae. The record is from RNAcentral.
AUGGAUUUUAGUUGUAUAUUGGUUUAUGUAUUUUUUUCUUAAGUAUACAGUGCACUGUUUGAAAUGUAUUGUUGAGUAUUACUUUGUACAGGUUGAUCACUUUUUUUAGAGUGAAGAAAGAACAAACUUGUUUUUUUGUGUUUUUUAAAGGAAUAUAAAAUAAUGAAGGAUGUAUAAUUGAUGCCAAAUAAGCUUGUUCUUUAGUCACACCAACGUCUGACUUUUCCCUUUAGGCCAGUUCUGUUUUUAAGGUGUACAUGAACGAUGUGACGGUGUAAGAAAUUCCAUAUCCAUAUGUUCCAUUCGCAUUUUGUAUUGGUUCAUGUAUACCAUUUUUAC